Molecule: ribosomal RNA, 89 nt
Filed under: Hydrogenophaga sp.
Lineage: Bacteria; Pseudomonadati; Pseudomonadota; Betaproteobacteria; Burkholderiales; Comamonadaceae
Description: partial 16S ribosomal RNA
Rfam family: Bacterial small subunit ribosomal RNA
Source: RNAcentral
GAACUAAAGAGUUUGAUCCUGGCUCAGAUUGAACGCUGGCGGCAUGCUUUACACAUGCAAGUCGAACGGUAACAGGCCGCAAGGUGCUG